This 300-nucleotide ribosomal RNA is filed under the name uncultured bacterium. RNAcentral's name for it is "bacterial SSU rRNA". It matches the Rfam family "Bacterial small subunit ribosomal RNA", at positions 114 to 431 of the family's 1533-position model. The record is from RNAcentral.
CACGUGAGAAUUUACCUUUAGGAGGGAAUAACAGUUGGAAACGAUUGCUAAUGCCGCAUAUCAUUUAUAUGAAAGAAGAAAUUCGCCUAAAGAAAAGCUUGCGUCUGAUUAGCUAGUUGGUAAGGGUAAGGCCUACCAAGGCGACGAUCAGUAGCUGGUUUGAGAGGACGACCAGCCACACUGGUACUGAGACACGGACCAGACUCCUACGGGAGGCAGCAGUGAGGAAUAUUGGUCAAUGGAGGCAACUCUGAACCAGCCAUGCCGCGUGCAGGAUGACUGCCCUAUGGGUUGUAAACU